AGUGGGAUAGCUGGGUCAAACGGUUAUUCUAUUCCAAAUUUUCUAAGGAAUCUUCAUAUUGCUUUCCAAAGUGGUUGCACCUUUUUGCAGUCCCACCAGCAGU
This 103-nucleotide microRNA precursor is filed under the name Marmota monax (woodchuck). Lineage: Eukaryota; Metazoa; Chordata; Mammalia; Rodentia; Sciuridae. The record is from RNAcentral.